Molecule: ribosomal RNA, 755 nt
Filed under: uncultured archaeon
Lineage: Archaea
Description: bacterial SSU rRNA
Rfam family: Archaeal small subunit ribosomal RNA
Source: RNAcentral
ACGGGGUGCAGCAGGCGCGAAAACUUUGCAAUGUGCGAAAGCACGACAAGGUUAAUCCGAGUGGUUUCUGCUAAAGGAACCUUUUGACAGUCCUAGAAACACUGUUGAAUAAGGGGUGGGCAAGUUCUGGUGUCAGCCGCCGCGGUAAAACCAGCACCUCAAGUGGUCAGGAUGAUUAUUGGGCCUAAAGCAUCCGUAGCCGGCUCAGUAAGUUUUCGGUUAAAUCUGUACGCUCAACGUACAGGCUGCCGGGAAUACUGCAGAGCUAGGGAGUGGGAGAGGUAGACGGUACUCGGGAGGAAGUGGUAAAAUGCUUUGAUCUUUCGAUGACCACCUGUGGCGAAGGCGGUCUACCAGAACACGUCCGACGGUGAGGGAUGAAAGCUGGGGGAGCAAACCGGAUUAGAUACCCGGGCAGUCCCAGCUGUAAACUAUGCAAACUCAGUGAUGCAUUGGCUUGUGGCCAAUGCAGUGUUGCAGGGAAGCCGUUAAGUUUGCCGCCUGGGAAGUACGUACGCAAGUAUGAAACUUAAAGGAAUUGGCGGGGGAGCACCACAAGGGGUGAAGCCUGCGGUUCAAUUGGAGUCAACGCCAGAAAUCUUACCCGGAGAGACAGCAGAAUGAAGGUCAAGCUGAAGACUUUACCAGACAAGCUGAGAGGUGGUGCAUGGCCGUCGCCAGCUCGUGCCGUGAGAUGUCCUGUUAAGUCAGGUAACGAGCGAGAUCCCUGCCUCUAGUUGCCACCAUUACUCUCA